This 249-nucleotide unclassified non-coding RNA is filed under the name uncultured fungus. RNAcentral describes it as "sequence contains ITS1, 5.8S rRNA gene". The stretch from base 201 to 249 matches the Rfam family "5.8S ribosomal RNA", at positions 1 to 49 of the family's 154-position model. The record is from RNAcentral. Lineage: Eukaryota; Fungi.
UCUCCGUUGGUGAACCAGCGGAGGGAUCAUUACAGAGUUUUAUAACUCCCAACCCUUUGUGAACUUACCUUUGUUGCCUCGGCGGGUCAGGCUGAUGCUUGGGAUGGCUACUUUGUAGCUACCCUGCAGAGGCCGCCGCCGGUGGGAUUUUAAACUAUUGUCAUGUAUUGUCAUCUGAGAGCCUUAUGAAAAUAAGUCAAAACCUUUAACAACGGAUCUCUUGGUUCUGGCAUCGAUGAAGAACGCAGC